RNAcentral lists this transfer RNA (75 nucleotides) under Cordylochernes scorpioides. Its description in RNAcentral is "tRNA-Thr". It matches the Rfam family "tRNA". From Rfam's summary of the family: Transfer RNA (tRNA) molecules are approximately 80 nucleotides in length. Their secondary structure includes four short double-helical elements and three loops (D, anti-codon, and T loops). Lineage: Eukaryota; Metazoa; Arthropoda; Arachnida; Pseudoscorpiones; Chernetidae. The record is from RNAcentral.
GUCCAGGGUAGCCUAGUGGUCAUGGCAUCUGCCCGGUAAGCGGAAGGUCGUGGGUUCAAUUCCCUUCCCUUGACA